Molecule: long non-coding RNA, 150 nt
Organism: Dreissena polymorpha
Lineage: Eukaryota; Metazoa; Mollusca; Bivalvia; Myida; Dreissenidae
Exons: 3
Source: RefSeq, a predicted model, not a curated record
UGAUCUCACGGUCAUACAAGCUACACAGGUACGGCCAACUGAAUGAUCUCAUGGUCAUACAAGCUACACAGGUAAGGCCAACUGAAUGAUCUCACGGUCAUACAAGCUACACAGGUAAGGCCACCUGAAUGAUCUCACGGUCAUACAAGC